Molecule: ribosomal RNA, 253 nt
Filed under: uncultured bacterium
Lineage: Bacteria
Description: partial 16S ribosomal RNA
Rfam family: Bacterial small subunit ribosomal RNA
Source: RNAcentral
CACGUAAGGAGCGAGCGUUGUUCGGAAUUAUUGGGCGUAAAGGGCAUGUAGGCGGUUAUAUAAGUCUGAUGUGAAAUCCCACAGCUUAACUGUGGAUCCGCAUUGGAAACUGUAUGACUUGAAUCAGUAAGGGGUAACCGGAAUUCCUGGUGUAGGGGUGAAAUCUGUUGAUAUUAGGAAGAACACCGAUGGCGAAGGCAGGUUACUGGUACAUGAUUGACGCUGAGAUGCGAAAGCGUAGGGAGCGAACAGG